AACGCACUUGCAGACGGUAGCGGCUUGAGAGGCGACGGCACAUGGACUUGAGACCCUGCUGAUCCUACGGAAGCCAGCAGUGGGGAAUAUGACAUUGGGCGCAGCUGAUGCAGCGACGGCGCGUGAGGGAUGACGGCUUCGGUUUUAAACCUUCUUUCAGUAACGACGAAGCGCAAGUGACGGUAGGUACAGAAGAAGCACCGGCCCAACUACGUGCCAGCAGCCGCGGUAAUACGUAGGGUGCGAGCGUGUCCCGAAAUUACUGGGCGUAAAGAGCUCGUAGGCGGUUUGUCGCGUCGUCUGUGAAAACCCGCAGCUCAACUGCGGGCUUGCAGGCGAUACGGGCAGACUUGAGUACUGCAGGGGAGACUGGAAUUCCUGGUGUAGCGGUGAAAUGCGCAGAUAUCAGGAGGAACACCGGUGGCGAAGGCGGGUCUCUGGGCAGUAACUGACGCUGAGGAGCGAAAGCGUGGGUAGCGAACAGGAUUAGAUACCCUGGUAGUCCACGCCGUAAACGGUGGGCGCUAGGUGUGGGUUUCCUUCCACGGGAUCCGUGCCGUAGCUAACGCAUUAAGCGCCCCGCCUGGGGAGUACGGCCGCAAGGCUAAAACUCAAAGGAAUUGACGGGGGCCCGCACAAGCGGCGGAGCAUGUGGAUUAAUUCGAUGCAACGCGAAGAACCUUACCUGGGUUUGACAUACACCGGACCGCCCCAGAGAUGGGGUUUCCCUUGUGGUCGGUGUACAGGUGGUGCAUGGCUGUCGUCAGCUCGUGUCGUGAGAUGUUGGGUUAAGUCCCGCAACGAGCGCAACCCUUGUCCUGUGUUGCCAGCACGUAAUGGUGGGGACUCGCAGGAGACUGCCGGGGUCAACUCGGAGGAAGGUGGGGACGACGUCAAGUCAUCAUGCCCCUUAUGUCCAGGGCUUCACACAUGCUACAAUGGCCGGUACAGAGGGCUGCGAUACCGCGAGGUGGAGCGAAUCCCUUAAAGCCGGUCUCAGUUCGGAUCGGGGUCUGCAACUCGACCCCGUGAAGUCGGAGUCGCUAGUAAUCGCAGAUCAGCAACGCUGCGGUGAAUACGUUCCCGGGCCUUGUACACACCGCCCGUCACGUCAUGAAAGUCGGUAACACCCGAAGCCGGUGGCCUAACCCCUCGUGGGAGGAGCCGUCGAAUGUG
RNAcentral lists this ribosomal RNA (1176 nucleotides) under Rhodococcus sp. (in: high G+C Gram-positive bacteria). RNAcentral's name for it is "bacterial SSU rRNA". It matches the Rfam family "Bacterial small subunit ribosomal RNA", at positions 267 to 1464 of the family's 1533-position model. The record is from RNAcentral. Lineage: Bacteria; Bacillati; Actinomycetota; Actinomycetes; Mycobacteriales; Nocardiaceae.